UGGGGAAUUUUCCGCAAUGGGCGAAAGCCCGACGGAGCAAUACCGCGUGAGGGAUGAAAGCCUGUGGGUUGUAAACCUCUUUUCUCAAGGAAGAAGUUCUGACGGUACUUGAGGAAUAAGCAUCGGCUAACUCU
RNAcentral lists this ribosomal RNA (134 nucleotides) under uncultured phototrophic eukaryote. RNAcentral describes it as "partial 16S ribosomal RNA". It matches the Rfam family "Bacterial small subunit ribosomal RNA", at positions 355 to 504 of the family's 1533-position model. The record is from RNAcentral.